AUGAAAAAUCUAUUUUAGAUUGAUGAAGAUUUAUCGCAUUUUUAAUAAUUAUUAAAUAUUUUGAAAUGUUUUAGGACGUCUAUCUAUUUUUAAUUUAAAAAAAAAUAAUUGUUACAUUAACUAGAACAAUGGUCAAUCACAGUCAUAACUACUAGAGUUGAUAGACCAGGGAUAUAUAAAAGCAAGACAUUAUAAAUAUUAGGUAAGAAGUUAUCGGUAAAAUGGAAAAACUUCAUUUUCUCACUUUUUGUGUUCUCCUUGCUUCCUUAGUUAUCUCAGCUUAUGGAGGACCAUUAAUACCGGAAGACGAUGAUCAGUAUCCGGAACAUGGAAGACGAGUUAAGCGUUUCACUUGCGAUGCUCUGAGUCUCGAUGUUAACAUUCUUGGUACAGGUUUCAAGGCGAAUAAUUCGAUAUGUGCAACUAAAUGUAUAAUUCUCCUUUACACUGGUGGAUACUGCGAUAAUCAAGGAGAAUGUAUUUGCAGACAAAAAAUUAAAGAUUAUUUGAAAAACAAGCUCUCAUUUUUGGGAUAACAUGUUUGGAAAACAAAUAUACUUUUAACAUAGUUAUAAUAA
Molecule: long non-coding RNA, 578 nt
Organism: Aethina tumida (small hive beetle)
Lineage: Eukaryota; Metazoa; Arthropoda; Insecta; Coleoptera; Nitidulidae
Exons: 2
Source: RefSeq, a predicted model, not a curated record